GUCGAUCUACCGAUUGACGUCAGUCGUGAGCUCAUAUGUCGUAGUCACCGAUCUACGUCAGUUCAGACCGCUGACGCGUCUCAGCGCAUGGAUGCAUCGUACGUCACUCGGCGAGUAGCUCGUUACUGCUGUCGACGAGUGCUAUAGCUGAUCUAGCGUACGUAGAUAGCCAGCUACUCUGCUGCAGCCGUAUCGUAGUCGACGUAUCGAUCUGCUAGCUGGCAGCGUUAGUAGCAGAUUGAUGCUGCUCACUCGACUGCAUAGUGACUGCAUAGCUGAGUACGCAGAGAGAUGAUCGCUGUAGCAGUGAUGCGUAGAUAUGCGAGACACGAUGCGAGCAUCCUGGCUGUACUGACGCUCAUGCACGAAGCGUGGAGCAACAGAUAGAUACUGUAGUCACGCCUACGAUGUCACUGUUGUGGUCUUCACUGACUCAGUACGAGCUACGCGUGAGUUGACCGCCUGGGAGUACGCCGCAGUUGAACUCAAUGAAUUGACGGGACCCGCACAGCGGUGAUGAUGUGGUUAAUUCGAUGCAACGCGAAAACCUUACCCACCUUGACAUGUACAGAAGUUACCAGAGAUGGUUUCGUGCUCGAAAGAGAACCGUAACACAGGUGCUGCAUGGCUGUCGUCAGCUCGUGUCGUGAGAUGUUGGGUUAAGUCCCGCAACGAGCGCAACCCUUGUCAUUAGUUGCUACGAAAGGGCACUCUAAUGAGACUGCCGGUGACAAACCGGAGGAAGGUGGGGAUGACGUCAAGUCCUCAUGGCCCUUAUAGGUGGGGCUACACACGUCAUACAAUGGCUGGUACAGAGGGUUGCCAACCCGCGAGGGGGAGCUAAUCCCAUAAAACCAGUCGUAGUCCGGAUCGCAGUCUGCAACUCGACUGCGUGAAGUCGGAAUCGCUAGUAAUCGCGGAUCAGAAUUCCUACUGAUUCGA
This 942-nucleotide ribosomal RNA is filed under the name uncultured bacterium. RNAcentral's name for it is "bacterial SSU rRNA". The stretch from base 161 to 942 matches the Rfam family "Bacterial small subunit ribosomal RNA", at positions 1 to 1367 of the family's 1533-position model. The record is from RNAcentral.